AAACAACCUAGCAAAGAGGCUAUCUACUAAACCAUAUGAAUCCCUAAUGAGAAACUCUAACCCUAACAAGCAAACUACUCAG
RNAcentral lists this small RNA (82 nucleotides) under Arabidopsis thaliana (thale cress). RNAcentral's name for it is "ATSL041650". Lineage: Eukaryota; Viridiplantae; Streptophyta; Magnoliopsida; Brassicales; Brassicaceae. The record is from RNAcentral.